This 3323-nucleotide long non-coding RNA is filed under the name Olea europaea subsp. europaea. The record is from RNAcentral. Lineage: Eukaryota; Viridiplantae; Streptophyta; Magnoliopsida; Lamiales; Oleaceae.
CACAAUCUGAAACUCUAGUCACCCUUCUAGAUCUUAAGAACCCUUACAGAUGUAACAAUAGAUGUUGAUUUAAUGCUUUGAAAUUUCGAUUUUUUGAUUGUCUGAUUCAUUUGAUCUUUGAAAAUUGAUGUUUGAUAAUUAAAAUAUGUUGUAUAGGAUCAAAUAAUGUUCAACCACACUUUAGGAUGUUGAAUGACUUAAAUAAUAUGAAGUAUUUGGGUUGAAAUAGGAUUGGAAAAAUUUGUAAAAAUCAUGAAACAUGCAUUGGCUAUCCUAAUCGUGCUUGAGUGCCAAUGUAACGGUCAUUGAGUGGCAGGCUUCUUGUAGGCUGUUGAGCUCCUGCUUGGCGUACACGAGCGAUUUUCUAGCUAUUUUUUCUCCUUGGUCCAUGUUUGAUCUUCUUAGCUCCUUGUGGACCUAUUCCACUAUCCCAAACAACUUUUUGACUUUAAAUACAACUCUAUUACUUUGAUUUGGUCUAGGAUUUGUCAAUUUACAAUUUAAACCUAACAAACUCCUCUUUUAGCAUUCUGUGACAAAAUUAAGUGGUGUUUGAUUCUCAUUUUUCCUAAAAUAUAUUCUCUCUUCUUUUCAACAACAUUUUCUUCAUUUAAAUAAUAUUGUAUGCAAAUUUAAAAAAAUUCCUUCUUUUUUAACCACACAUUCUACCUUAAUUUACUAUUCCAAAAUACAUUCUUUAAAAAAAAUGUAGCUCAAACACACUCUAAGUAUUACAAAGACAAAUUAUGAAAAAUUAAACUUCUUCUAUCUACCCAAGCCCCAAUGACUCAACCAUAUCUUGUAUUCCUUGUCUAACUUAUUUCCUAAAAUCAACAACUCAAAUACCAAGUAUAAAACUGCUUGAAAGAGUUACAGAAAUAACAUGUAUCAGUUGACAUAAAUAAUAUGAGUAUCAAACUAGAUAUAUUAAGACAUGAUAUUAAUGUUAAGCAGAACACCAAAAUCAAUAUCAAUACUAUAUUAAUAUGGCAUAGCAAAAUAUCAAAAAAAUUUAAAUACAUUUCAACUACAACAUCCAUACAUCCCAAUAAUAUCAUAUGGACUCCUAUAUGUCUCACUGUCCUCAUCUUCGUCAUUCUAAUGUUGGUGAAUCCACUUUGCAUCAAUCUACAGAGCAGCAACAUUAGCAAUAAGUCGCUCAGAGGUGGACUGUAGUAGGGUAAUGUUAGCCAUCAUACGAGCCUAGUGCUCAAGAAAAGUAGAUAAUUGGCCCGUAAUCACUACUGAGGGGUCAAUAGGACCAAAAGCAGGUGGAGAACAGUAGCAAAGGUAUUAGCAAUAAGUCGCUUAGAUGUGGACUGUAGUAGGGUAAUGUCAGCCAUCAUACGAGCCUAGUGCUCAAGAAAAAUAGAUAAUUGGCCCGUAAUCACCACUGAGGAGUCAAUAGGACCAAAAGUAGGUGGAGGAAUAGUAGCAAAGGUCGAAGGUAUAUCACGAUCAAACGAAGUAGGAACAUCAUGAUUAGAUGGACUAGAAAUAUCGAAAAUAGGAUUAGAAAAUGGAGGUGAGACCUGAGGAGGCAGAGGUAGUUCAUCGAUCGACUUAGAAGAAUUAAGAAUGUGAUACUUACUCUGAGCUAGAGUGACACGACCUGUCCUGAUCACUCGAUGAACCCGAAAUGUGACGUGCUUAGAUGGUAUAUACUUACUUGAUGUUAGAUCCAUCACCAAGGCUCACUAUGAGUUACUACAAAUAUGCGACAAAAUCAAAUAUUUAUAAAAACAUAAUGCAAUGUGCCGAAAUAAUUACUUCAUAUUUUACCAAAACGAAUCAUAUAACUCAAUAUGUUAUGUAGCUAACUCUUAAAUCACCAGGCUCUUCAAGCUAUCAACGAUCAAUAUUACCUAUAAGAAUACAUUUAGAAAAAUAUGAGCUGAUUGCUCAGUGAGUGGAAGAGUUCGAAAAUAUUUAUACUUUCUCAUUUAAACAUUUUUAUCAAACAUCGAGUUCAUAUCGUUUAAUAUUUCACAUGAUAGCCUCAUACAAGUAUAAAUAAAAAUUGACACAUUCUCAUAACACUGUAAAUAUUAUUUCGUAAUCACGAUAUAGUCAUCAGCUGAUAUCUAGACCAUCAUCUCAUCACAUCACAUGUGAUCCGCCAAAAAUGUACCCUCCGACUAAAAUUUGAAAGUCAUCCUUCGGGCCAAACACUUUCGCCACGAGCCUUUAACCCCCUCUAUGAACAAAAGCGGGUCUCAAAGACCUCUAAUAAUCAAUUUUAGAACACGGUUAAGGCUCCUCAGUGAGCUAUAUAUACACGGUCACGACCCCUUCGUCCCCAGUCGACCCCUCAAUGUAGUAUAGAGCAGAGUCAAGGCCCAUCGGUGAACUAGAAGAAGUAUAUAAUCACGGGUACUUUUAUGAUCGAUGUCAAUAUCACUUAUUGAGAUUAUAAUUGUUUUUCUUUACCAAUUAUACUUAAUUGAUAUUACUUAAUAAUCCUUCUUUACUUAACUAAUUAAAAAGAAUUCGAUUUAAUUUCUACCCCAUGUCAUGCACACCAACUAAUUAGAACAGAAAAUCAAAGUUUUUCUUUACCUUAAAUUGUACCCCGAAUACAAGAUUAAUUCCCAACAAAAGAUAGUAAAAUUUGAUGAUGAUUUCUUCUCCUCCUUCCUCUCCAACCUUCCUUUUUCCCUUUUCUCUUCCUUUCUUUCUGCCCUAGAUUUUCUUUCUCGCAUGUGUUCGCAUAAAUAUGUUUAUGCAAUUGAUUUGUUUGAAAUGGAUUAAUAUGAAAGUCUUUCUCCACCGAUCGAGCUUUUAUUUUUCUUCUUUCUUCCUUAAUUUUUUUCCCUACCUUUUCUUUUCCUCUUUUCUUCCUUCCCUUUUUCGAUUUCGGCUGCACCAUUUUUCAGCCCGUGUGUAUUUGUAAUAUGAAAGGGAAUGAAAAGCUUCUACAAAUGACACUUGUCUUCUACACUCCCAUAUUUGCAUUCAAGUCCCUCCUUUGAUGUUUUAUAUAAAAUCUAGUCAUUAACUUUCCAUUCUUGUAAUCUAAUCCCUAAGUUUAAUUGCUUAGACCCUCAAAUAUUGUCAACUGCAAAAUAAGCCCCUAGAAAAUAAUUUAUUCCAUCUAAAUCCCUAUUUGACUUGACUAGUCGAACCUUUGACUUUAAAAUACAAGCUUGACUUUGACUAAGAAUGAGUAGGAUGUAACAUAGAGUGACCUGGCCAAUAGGCCGUAGUACACGCUCAAGUACCCCAUCAGUAAAUGUAACUGCCAAAUUGAUCACUAACCUCUGAGAAUGGAUUUUGAAAGUAUGUACUCUAAUAUCCUUGAUUAUUUUCUUUUUCAAAACUAU